This 520-nucleotide ribosomal RNA is filed under the name uncultured Glomus. RNAcentral describes it as "SSU rRNA". It matches the Rfam family "Eukaryotic small subunit ribosomal RNA", at positions 569 to 1092 of the family's 1831-position model. Lineage: Eukaryota; Fungi; Glomeromycota; Glomeromycetes; Glomerales; Glomeraceae. The record is from RNAcentral.
AGCAGCCGCGGUAAUUCCAGCUCCAAUAGCGUAUAUUAAAGUUGUUGCAGUUAAAAAGCUCGUAGUUGAAUUUCGGGAUCAAUACGUCGGUCGUGCUUAGGUACGUACUGACGUAAUUGAUUUCUCCCUUCUGACGAACCAUGAUGUCAUUAACUUGGUGUCAUGGGAAAUCAGGACUGUUACUUUGAAAAAAUUAGAGUGUUUAAAGCAGGCUCACGCUUGAAUACAUUAGCAUGGAAUAAUGAAAUAGGACGUUCGAUCCUAUUUUGUUGGUUUUAGGAUCAACGUAAUGAUUAAUAGGGAUAGUUGGGGGCAUUAGUAUUCAAUUGUCAGAGGUGAAAUUCUUGGAUUUAUUGAAGACUAACUACUGCGAAAGCAUUUGCCAAGGAUGUUUUCAUUAAUCAAGAACGAAAGUUAGGGGAUCGAAGACGAUCAGAUACCGUCGUAGUCUUAACCAUAAACUAUGCCGACUAGGGAUCGGAUGAUGUUAAUUUUUUAAUGACUCAUUCGGCGCCUUAAC